Molecule: long non-coding RNA, 1218 nt
Organism: Musa acuminata AAA Group (dessert banana)
Lineage: Eukaryota; Viridiplantae; Streptophyta; Magnoliopsida; Zingiberales; Musaceae
Exons: 4
Source: RefSeq, a predicted model, not a curated record
UAAUUGAAACAUAUCUUGGCAGAUAAAGAUGACGCAGGUUGGUGACAUUUGUUAUGCUUUUGGGCAAUUCUUCUAGUUUCUCACUAUCUCUCAGGUCCAACGGCUGCAGAUUGUAAAGGCCACACAAAGAUUCAGGGGUUUCACUCAGAUCCAGAGUGCGCAAGAACUUCAAGCCAACAAAAAGGUCAUUCGGCAUACUCAAAGGAGCGAAUGAAUGGCCCAAGUUCUUCAGGACACAACGAUAAAUGUCUUGCUUCUGAGAUAUACCCAACCUCGGGCAUCGAAGUGGUCUCUAAUGGUGGCGUCGUCGUAGACGAGACGGGCGAGAGCGGUCUUGCCGACGCCCCCAGGGCCUACUAUGGGGAUGACAGAGAGGUCUCUUCUAUGGUUGGCCAACAACAGCUCGAUCACUUCACGCUUGUCGUCGUCUCUACCGCAGACGACAGAGUCAUCUACGUUGAACAACAACGGCGGUGGGAGCUCGGCUUCUGCAUCGAGCUCCCGGCAUGACUCCCAGUGGAGGGUUUCACGUUGUUUCGCAAUCUCAUCGAGCCGCUCUCUCAAGCUCCUAAUCCUGACUGCAAUGCCAUGUUGAGAUGGAGGGUGGGUUGGGUCAUGUACCUCCUCCGGCGGCAUCUGAGCUCCGUUGUCGGUGUUGGAUCGAGCCAGCAGCUGGAAUCGGCACUCAUCGAUCAAGUCCUCGGCAUCAUAAGCCGCUCCUCUAAGCUGCCUGAGCCAAUGCCGCACGGUCUCGUCCUUGCCGUUCUCCUCCUCCUUCGCCAUGUCCGCGGCCAGGUGUUGGAUCUGAAGCAUGCUUCCGUUGAGCUUGUCGAGAUCAUGGUGAAUGGCUACUGCAUCUUUGGAUGGGGAUUGAGACCGUGGGCGAGUUACCAGGUCUUGGAUCAGGCUGAGCGCUGAGGAUAGGACAGCAGCGGCCAUAGCCGAAGAUGGACGGAUGGGUGUGGUUUCUUCCCUUUUCCGUUUUCGUUGUGACUCUCCCAAGACCCAUGCCCCAAAUGUAGGUAGCCGUAGUAGCGACUAUUGGGAUUGCUUGACCUUCAAGGUUUCUCUUGCCUACAACGACGUUGGGGUUCAGUCAAAUUACCCACUGCGCAAGCUUGCUGUCACGAGGAGGACCUGGGUUUGGUCAACGGGAGACCACUUGUUGCCCAAGCUUCCUCCUCCUCAAGUCAACUGCUACAUUCGGUUCAUGAGGCA